Molecule: small nuclear RNA, 120 nt
Filed under: Macaca nemestrina (pig-tailed macaque)
Lineage: Eukaryota; Metazoa; Chordata; Mammalia; Primates; Cercopithecidae
Description: U4 spliceosomal RNA (ENSMNEG00000007761.1)
Rfam family: U4 spliceosomal RNA
About the family: U4 small nuclear RNA (U4 snRNA) is a component of the major U2-dependent spliceosome. The structure of U4 snRNA from yeast and human has been reported. U4 snRNA presents a k-turn RNA motif in the 5p-SL related to recognition of Snu13 protein.
Source: RNAcentral
AGCUUUGCACAGUGGUGGUAUUGUAGCCAAUGAGGUUUAUCUGAGGUGUGAUUAUUGCUAAUUGAAAACUUUUCCCAACACUCUACCAUGACAACUUGCAAUAUAGUAGGCAUUGGCAAA